GUGCUAAGUGGGAAAGGAUGUGGAGUCGCAUAGACAGCCAGGAGGUUGGCUCAGAAGCAGCCACCCUUGAAAGAGUGCGUAACAGCUCACUGGUCUAGUGGUUCCGCGCCGACAAUGUAGCGGGGCUCAAGCACACCACCGAAGACGCGGCAGUAUUUUGUACUGGGUAGGAGAGCGUCCCAUGAGGGGCGAAGCGGCCGUGUGAACGCGCCGUGGACUUCAUGGGAGUGAGAAUGCAGACAUGAGUAGCGAGAGACGGGUGAAGAUCCCGUCCGCUGGAUGACCAAGGGUUCCAGGGCCACGUUCAUCGUCCCUGGGUGAGUCGGGUCCUAAGGCGAGGCCGACAGGCGUAGUCGAAUGGAUGAACGGGUCGAUAUUCCCGUACCGGCUUUCAGCCGCCAAAACCGAGGCUUGGAGUACUAACCUCCGGGUCCGGGCUUACUGCUCCUUCGGGGGCGGGAUGCCCUGGCCUGUUGGGACCGAUCCUUGUAGUAGGUCAGCGCAGGAGUGACGCAGAAGGGUAGCCGGCCGCGGAGGUGGUCUUCCGUGGUCAAGCACGCAGGGCGUGGGACAGGCAAAUCCGUCCCGCAUGGGUCCGAGGUGCGAUGAUGGGGGCCUUAUGGCCCGAUAUCCGGUGAUCCCGGCUGCCGAGAAAAGCUUCGGCGUCAGGCUCGAAGCCGCCCGUACCCCAAACCGACACUGGUGGUCAGGUAGAGAAUACCAAAGCGAUCGAGCGAAUCCUGGUCAAGGAACUCGGCAAAUCACUCCCGUUCCUUCGGUUUAAGGGAGACCCCCGAUGGUGAACACGCUUGCUGUGGGAGCUUUUGGGGGUGGCACAGACCAGGGGGUAGCGACUGUUUACCAAAAACACAGGUGCAUGCGAAGGCGCAAGCCGCUGUAUAUGCACUGACGCCUGCCCGGUGCCGGAAGGUUAAGAGGAUCCGUCAGCCUUCGGGUGAAGCGGUGAAUUCAAGCCCCGGUAAACGGCGGUGGUAACUAUAACCAUCCUAAGGUAGCGAAAUUCCUUGUCGGGUAAGUUCCGACCUGCACGAAUGGCGUAAUGAUGGCCAGGCUGUCUCCACCCGAGACUCAGUGAAAUUGAACUCGCUGUGAAGAUGCAGUGUACCCGCGGCAAGACGGAAAGACCCCGUGAACCUUUACUAUAGCUUGACACUGAACAUUGAGCCUUGAUGUGUAGGAUAGGUGGGAGGCUUUGAAGUGUGGACGCCAGUCUGCAUGGAGCCGACCUUGAAAUACCACCCUUUAAUGUUUGAUGUUCUAACGUUGGCCCGUAAUCCGGGUUGCGGACAGUGUCUGGUGGGUAGUUUGACUGGGGCGG
This 1339-nucleotide ribosomal RNA is filed under the name human gut metagenome. RNAcentral describes it as "bacterial LSU rRNA". It matches the Rfam family "Bacterial large subunit ribosomal RNA", at positions 1056 to 2282 of the family's 2925-position model. The record is from RNAcentral.